Non-coding RNA from Oryza barthii, 205 nucleotides. Lineage: Eukaryota; Viridiplantae; Streptophyta; Magnoliopsida; Poales; Poaceae. The record is from Rfam.
UAUAAAGGAUUUUGAGUUUUUUCUUGCACUGUUUGACCACUCGUCUUAUUCAAAACAUUUUGAAAUUAUUAUUUAUUUUUUUCGUGACUUACUUUAUUAUCCAAAGUACUUUAAGCACAACUUUUCGUUUUUUAUAUUUGCACAAAUUUUUUAAAUAAGACGAGUGGUCAAACAGUGCAAGCAAAAACUCAAGCAAAAACUCAAA